AGAAAGCAGGGGACCUUCGGGCCUUGCGCUAUCAGAUGAGCCUAGGUCGGAUUAGCUAGUUGGUGAGGUAAUGGCUCACCAAGGCGACGAUCCGUAACUGGUCUGAGAGGAUGAUCAGUCACACUGGAACUGAGACACGGUCCAGACUCCUACGGGAGGCAGCAGUGGGGAAUAUUGGACAAUGGGCGAAAGCCUGAUCCAGCCAUGCCGCGUGUGUGAAGAAGGUCUUCGGAUUGUAAAGCACUUUAAGUUGGGAGGAAGGGCAGUAAGUUAAUACCUUGCUGUUUUGACGUUACCGACAGAAUAAGCACCGGCUAACUCUGUGCCAGCAGCCGCGGUAAUACAGAGGGUGCAAGCGUUAAUCGGAAUUACUGGGCGUAAAGCGCGCGUAGGUGGUUCG
RNAcentral lists this ribosomal RNA (400 nucleotides) under Pseudomonas sp. AUPU-5. RNAcentral describes it as "bacterial SSU rRNA". It matches the Rfam family "Bacterial small subunit ribosomal RNA", at positions 201 to 582 of the family's 1533-position model. The record is from RNAcentral. Lineage: Bacteria; Pseudomonadati; Pseudomonadota; Gammaproteobacteria; Pseudomonadales; Pseudomonadaceae.